UGGGGAAUUUUGGACAAUGGGCGAAAGCCUGAUCCAGCAAUGCCGCGUGUGUGAAGAAGGCCUUCGGGUUGUAAAGCACUUUUGUCCGGAAAGAAAUCCUUGGCUCUAAUACAGUCGGGGGAUGACGGUACCGGAAGAAUAAGCACCGGCUAACUACGUGCCAGCAGCCGCGGUAAUACGUAGGGUGCAAGCGUUAAUCGGAAUUACUGGGCGUAAAGCGUGCGCAGGCGGUUUGCUAAGACCGAUGUGAAAUCCCCGGGCUCAACCUGGGAACUGCAUUGGUGACUGGCAGGCUAGAGUAUGGCAGAGGGGGGUAGAAUUCCACGUGUAGCAGUGAAAUGCGUAGAGAUGUGGAGGAAUACCGAUGGCGAAGGCAGCCCCCUGGGCCAAAUACUGACGCUCAUGCACGAAAGCGUGGGGAGCAAACAGGAUUAGAUACCCUGGUAGUCCACGCCCUAAAACGAUGUCAACUAGUUGUUGGGGAUUCAUUUCCUUAGUAACGUAGCUAACGCGUGAAGUUGACCGCCUGGGGAGUACGGUCGCAAGAUUAAAACCCAAAUGAAUUGACGGGGU
This 573-nucleotide ribosomal RNA is filed under the name uncultured bacterium. Its description in RNAcentral is "partial 16S ribosomal RNA". It matches the Rfam family "Bacterial small subunit ribosomal RNA", at positions 355 to 919 of the family's 1533-position model. The record is from RNAcentral.